GUAGGCCUGCGUCACUUUUCUGGAACCCGCGCCGUCUGCUCUGAAGGCUCUUGUAUGGUGGCGUUAUAAAAAAAUAAAAAUAAAAAAAAAUGUCUAGUUUACCUGGAACUUCCAAACCACAAGAGUUGGAGGCCAGUGUUAUUGCUGCUGCACAAGGCCUCAUAAACGUGCUAACACAAAACAUUCAGCAGCAUCACACCCCAGCACAGCAGAAUCCAUUGCGGUCACAUGAGCACCAGAGUCGACAGCAAGCAGGUCAAGGGAGGUGUUGCUGAAAUUGAGAGAGAUGGCAGAUUCGCGACCCCAACAGAGGACUGAACCUUUGAUUGUGAGGCAGUUCAUGGAGAGAAUGCUGAGAAGGCUUCAGGAAGUUCUGCGACGUCAGCCUGUGGAUUUGGAUUAUUUACACUUUGUUUUAAGUCAUGAAGUGGGACUUGUACGCUCUUUUGCCAAUGUUGUAGAACUGCCUCAAGAUGUUGAUCGUGCUUUAUCUGACUUAUUAAGACUUCUUCGUUUACAAGAGGAGAGUUAUCCAGCUCAUACCUAUGCUGAGGUUCUGGUUGGUGA
Molecule: long non-coding RNA, 567 nt
Organism: Xyrauchen texanus (razorback sucker)
Lineage: Eukaryota; Metazoa; Chordata; Actinopteri; Cypriniformes; Catostomidae
Exons: 3
Source: RefSeq, a predicted model, not a curated record